AAUAAUUUAUGAUGCUGAACAUACUAAAUUAUUUGAUCAGAGAGCCAUGUUAAAGUACUAAGAAACAACAAAGUUGACUUCAAGAUGUUGCUAACGGAAGAAACAGAUCAUCCUUCGACCCAAAAACAUCCUUCUUCAUUGUCCAUAUCAAUAAUUCGACCGACCAACAGAGAGCUAGCUUAUGUUUGAUUAUUGCCUAGUUCUGACACGUGCUUGAUUUGGUAAUAACUGGGGGAUUUGGUAGUAAAGAGAUGUGUUGUACUUGUGCAACAACUGACUGGCGCUUCUAUAUACCAUGGAGUAAUUUUGUAGAUGUUAGCACAAUCAGUUAACAUGCUUUAGAGCAUGUUAAUAUAAGAGUGCUUCUUGCGCUCAUAUCUUGUGUAAAAUUAAAACAAAAUCUAAUUUACA
Long non-coding RNA from Xenia sp. Carnegie-2017, 411 nucleotides. RefSeq lists it as uncharacterized. The transcript is spliced from 2 exons. The record is from RefSeq and is a predicted model, not a curated record. Lineage: Eukaryota; Metazoa; Cnidaria; Anthozoa; Malacalcyonacea; Xeniidae.